This 476-nucleotide ribosomal RNA is filed under the name uncultured bacterium. RNAcentral describes it as "bacterial SSU rRNA". It matches the Rfam family "Bacterial small subunit ribosomal RNA", at positions 28 to 507 of the family's 1533-position model. The record is from RNAcentral.
GAUGAACGCUGGCGGCGUGCCUAACACAUGCAAGUCGAGCGGGAUCUUGCUAAAUGACGCUUCGGUUGAUUUUAGUAAGUGAGAGCGGCGGACGGGUGAGUAACGCGUAGGCAACCUGCCCUUUGCAGAGGGAUAGCCAUUGGAAACGAUGAUUAAAACCUCAUAAUGCCAGACUGAGACAUCUCUAACUGGCCAAAGAUUUAUCGGCAAAGGAUGGGCCUGCGUCUGAUUAGCUAGUUGGUGGGGUAACGGCCUACCAAGGCGACGAUCAGUAGCCGACCUGAGAGGGUGAUCGGCCACAUUGGAACUGAGACACGGUCCAAACUCCUACGGGAGGCAGCAGUGGGGAAUAUUGCACAAUGGGCGAAAGCCUGAUGCAGCAACGCCGCGUGAAGGAAGAAGGUCUUCGGAUCGUAAACUUCUGCCCUUAGGGAAGAUAAUGACGGUACCUUUGGAGGAGCCCGGCUAACUACGUG